This 2388-nucleotide long non-coding RNA is filed under the name Populus tremula. RNAcentral describes it as "long non-coding RNA (PTRE_LNC000334)". The record is from RNAcentral. Lineage: Eukaryota; Viridiplantae; Streptophyta; Magnoliopsida; Malpighiales; Salicaceae.
GUACUGAGAGCUCAAUGAAAUAGCGGGAGGAAGAAGAGGAGAAGGCCUUUAGCUCUGUAUGGAAUCCAGCUUCAAAAGCAACAAGGCAAGGUAUAAAAAUUCUAGCUGACACUUGUGAGUUAAAGCAGUAAUUCCCAUUAAAAAUGCAUUUUGAUGACAUAAUUAAGAUCAAAUAGAGACAGGAAAGGCACGGUUGAGAUAAGUAGAGGGAGAGGUUGUUGGAGGCAGAAAAGGAAAGACUACGAUAAUAUUUUUCUCUAUAUUUUGAGUUUUAGUUGUUAAUAGCCAUGCUCUUGCAAAUAAGGCAGGAAAUAGCGUGUUUGUUUUUUAUUUUUUAAAGUAUUUUUUUAAAAAAUAAAUUUUUGUAUUCUAAAUUAAUUUUUUUAUUUUUAUAUUGCUAUUAAAAAUAUUUUUUAACAAAUAAAAAAAUAUUAUUUUAAUAUAUUUUUAAAAUACAAAUAUAUUUAAAAAAACUACUACUUAUUCAAACACUUAAAAUAAAAAUCUUAAAAUCACAGCAUGAUAAAAGGAGAAGGAAAGGAAUGGGAUAAAGAAGGAAGAAAAUACUAUUUGUUUUUUUACUGUAUCAGAGUGGUUUUUAUAAUUAUAUUUUUUAAUAUUUCUUGUUAUUAUUAUAUAUAUAUAUAUAUAUAUAUAUAAUAUUUUAAUAUGUUUUUAAAUAAAAAAACUAUUUUAAAAAAAUAUGUGUCACAAUACUAAAUUAUACUAUAAAUUAAAAGAUAAAGAGCUUUCUGUUCAUUACUAUUUACCGAGACUUAUUUUAUUGUGGAUGUGGAUAUUAAUAGUGAAUAUUUUUAAAAUUUUCAAUUUGGUAUUUGAAUUAUUAUUUUUUUGCAUAAUUGAAUCUCUUCAUGCUCAAAUUAAAACUCAAUUGCAUUUUUUUUAAGGAUAAGAGUUGAAUUAUAAGAUAGGUGACUAAAAUGAAAAACUCAGUAAAAAUAUGUGGCGACACUGUAAUUGUUUGCAAAGUUCAUUUUAGUCCUGUAUCUUUUAAGAUGUCCCAAUAAUUUCUCAACAUUACAUUUUAUCUAGAAUCUCUGAUUAUGCUCUAGGGACUAUAUUGAAAUUUUCAUAAAUUGAGAAAUCAAACUAAAAUUUCAUCACCUUCAAUCUCAAACCUAGAAUUUUCACAUAUCACCUGCUGAUAUAACAAAAUUUCGAACUCAAAUUCACCAUUUAAACAACCCAUAACUCAAAAUCAUCAUUUUUACUUAAAAACUUUUAAAAUCAACUAAAUAACUCAUUGUCCAUAACAAUGAGCACAUAAUAUUCAAAUCAAUUCAUCAAUCAAACCCAAAACACAAUCUUCAAAACCCUAAUAUUCAACAAAACAGAAAAUUAAAGCUAAGAAAAACACAUUUAUCCACAUCAAAGUGUAAAUAUUCUUACAUUUUAAUUUAUUUUCUCUAACUCUCUUAUCCUUUCUUUAUCUUUUCCUAGUUUCUCUUUUUUUUCUUUCACUCUCACGGUUCUCUAUAAGAUUUCAGAUCUAUCUUUUUUAUUAUUAUUUAUAUUUUGAACUCUUUAUUCAAUUACUACAAUACCGUUCAUUCAUUUAUACCUACUUCUAAGCCUCCAUGGGUUUUGUUGUCUUUUUCUAUUCUUUUUUAUUUUCAAAUCAUUACAAUAAAAUUGUUUUCUUUUCAUUAAGCUGCUAAUUUAUGCAGCUUUAGCUCUUGUUCUCUUUUCAUGUUUAGCAACUCUGAUCUGUUUCUUUUCUUUACAUGAUAUAAGGGCAGGUUCUUACCUCUUGAAGUCUGCUGGAUAAACCUAUAAGCAGAAGAUCCUGAAGCGAUCCCAAAUCACAGCUUCAAUCCCCACCACAACCAAUCUCCUCUUUCCCGUAGUCUGUCGUCCUCAAUUGGGAAAUGAUCUCAAAAAAUCACUUGAUGCAACAAGUAGGGUAGAGAAAUAUAAGACUUCAACAAAGAAUCAAACUCAAAAAAGUUGAAGUAAUUGUCUAUGAGAAGCAUUUCUGUGUCACACACUCAAGUAAUAUGAUUGACCUAUUACAUUAUACAAAUUAAUAAUAAUAAUAAUAAUAAUAAUAAUAAUAAUAAUAAAAGAACUAGGUUUUUGAUGGCAUCCAGAGUGCUGUUACUUUCAAACAAAGAGGCUUGUGCAUGCGGUGUUACGCUGUUCAUGUACGCUAAGAUCUCCUAUGAAUACAAUAAUAUAAUCAUAAAAUUGUAUUAGUUUUAUUAAGCUGUUAAUUUAUGCAGCUUUAGCUCAUGUUCUCUCUUCUUGUCUUGCUAUUCUGAUUUUAUCUUUUUCUUCGCAUGAUAUAAGAGCAGGUUCUUACCUCUUGAAGUCUGCUUCAAUCCCCGUAGUCUUCCGUCCUCAAUUGGGAAAUGAUCCAAAAUCAAC